Dermochelys coriacea (leatherback sea turtle) is the source of this 6496-nucleotide long non-coding RNA. RefSeq lists it as uncharacterized. The transcript has 6 exons. NCBI's taxonomy places the organism in Eukaryota, Metazoa, Chordata, Testudines, Dermochelyidae. The record is from RefSeq and is a predicted model, not a curated record.
AGAGGAUCUAGGAAGGUCAAGCUUUAAACAUAAGCUGUGAUGCAACUUUACUGUAGUGGCGCUGCUGCACCACUAUAAUGCUUGAAGGGGAAGAUAUUUUAUUAACAUUAAUAAAUUUCUUUCAAGCCACUGGCAUCCUGUCCUGGAACGUUUUUUGUGAAUAGGCUAUUUACAAGAAGAUAGCACACUAUUGAUCCUGGCCUGGACACCACUCAACUGAGGGAAUUAAUUGAAGUACAGUGCAUCCUCACUACAAUAUUCUGUGAACCUCGGCAGCAGGAGGUUGGGGAGUGAGAACUGGAGUACAGCCAGAGAGAGGGAGGGACAGAAGCAGAGACUAGCUAGUGCAGCAGCUGAGGUCUGGGGAUCUGAUACUGCUGUGUUGCCCUGGAAACCGGAUCCUGAUCCACAUUUAGAUUUUUUGAAGAUCCAUCAGUAGAUCCUACAGGAGAGACUCUUACAGACCCAGUUUCAAGUUCAGCUGUGGCUAGAAAGAACAAGAAAAACAAAUGACCAUAUAUGUUCUGUGUUAUGUUGUGUGAUAGUUUUACAAUAGGCUUUGUCAUUAAACCCAUUGAAUUUUUUCCACUGACAGCGGUGGACAUUGUGUCAGGUCCAGAGACAGCAGAUACACAUUUUAAAUCAAUACAAAGGAAACACGAUGAAAAUUACACAAAAGGGAUAUUCAUAAAGGAAGAGACCAGAUUUUUUAAUUAUAUAAGCAAUACAUUAGCCUUUUUGCUAAUCAGUAAAUAACUGUUAGUAUUUCAAGGGCUAUCAAAAAUCAUAGGUCAAAUCCACAGAUGCUCUAAGCACACCAAAUUCCAAUAAAGACAACGGAAUGAGAAUUGCUUUUUCUAGUGACAAAUUUGGAAGAAUAUGAAUUGUAUACAAUAAUACUGAUUAAAAUAUGUGUGAGAGGAGAAGUGAUUUUUAAAGUUUGUGAAAAAUCUUAAAGAGGAUUUACUGUAUUUGUGUUAAUCCUAUGUGUAUGGUAUUUGUGAAUUCCUGCAAAACUGACUUCAGAUUAAGACAUUCUUUUGUGGGGGAAUUACAUAGUAUUUUGUACAGCACUUUGGUAAGUGGGCAGUCCUUGCAAAAUUUUUUUUACCAAAUUUGAAAAUUAGUAGAAACAGCAAUGGUGUCUGACAUAAUAGCUUAAUACUAUUUUUGAAUUAUAACUAUAUCAUAAAUGAUAUUUAGUAACACUCAGUUUUUGAAAAAAAAAUGUUAACAUGCCCUAACAAAUUACCUUGGUCAAGUUCCUUAGUGAUACUUUUUUCUAGUUCCUGCUGCAUCUGAAAUUAAAUAUUAACAAUAUUUUACAUAUAAACAGUGUAGGAUAGUUUGUGUCACAAAAAUAUUGCUAUAUAUUUAAAAACAAAUACAUAGUGUAACUAAAAGUGAAACCGAAAUCCUGAACAGAGAUUUAGUUUUGUUUUGGAGAAAAUCUUUAUUAGCUGAGUCUUCAUAUCUGAUGGUUGAACAAUAUCAGCAGCAUCGUAAAACAAUCUAUACCUUCACAGACAUCAUAGAAAUGUAGGGUUGGAAGGGAUCUCAAGAGGUCAUCAAGUCCAGCCUCCUGCACUGAGUCAGGACCAAAUAAACCAGACCAUCUCAACUGACUAGACAGUUGCUAAUUAGCCUCUUCUAUCCCUAUGAAGUAUUUUUACAAACUGUAAUUAACUAUAGCUCAGAAGAGUGUUGGACUCUUGGCUUUUACUCCCCUUCAUGCACAUGCUGCUUAAUAAACCGUCCUUACUAGUUGUUGGCUUAUUAAUGUAUUUAACUAAUGAUAAAUGAUUCAUAAUUUAGUAAUUAAACACAUACAAACAAGCACAAUCAAUUAAUAAUGGAGGGCUAAAUUCUAUCUUCAGAUAUGUGAAUAAAACCACAAUUAAAUUCAGCAGUGGAUAUAUGUAUCUAAUUCUAAGUUUGACCUGUUAAAAAUAUGAGGCCCAGUCCUGCAACCCAAUGAAGCUACUGUUGCAUGAAUAAGUUUUGCAAGAUUGAGUCCUUAAAUUGUAUAUAAAAAUAAAGUAUCAGUAUUUAAUUUAGCUUCUAUAAAAAUGUACAGUAUCAGUUUACUGCAAGGCCCUCAGAUCACACUGAGAACCUUCUCUCUAUCUUUGUGAAAAGAUGCAACACUCAUCUCUUUUUGUCAUCCUUCUCUUAAGGAUGGUGAAAUGAUGGUUAUGGGAUCGGAGAACAAGUUCUGCACCUUUGUAUUAAGUGGCUUAAAUUGACUAGGAGAAACGGAAAGUGUCCACAAUAGACUUUCCAUUAAGACAGUCAAUGACCUGAAGAAUUUAAAAUCUAAACAGACAAGACACAACAACAGCCAGCAUAUAAGAAAGCAUAAUUUCUAAAUAUAUGGAGCUAGCACACAGAUAUAACAGUGGUUAAUUUACUCACCAGUUCACCAUUUUGGGAUGAAGAAACUGCUUCAGUAAGGGAGUAAGGUAAGACACAAUUGGGGAAAGCGUAAGAACAGAAAGAACCCUCCAGAGAGCACAGAGUCUGUCUGGUACUGAGUGGCAAGGCGAACUGUUUAGAGUGCACAUAGGUGCCUUCUGUUGGAUUUAUGGGAUAACUGGAAUCAAAUUAAGAAGCAUGCCAAUGGAAAGAACCAUCAGGAAGCCAAGGUGGGGAGAUUCUGAAAAUUCUGUACCUUAAUGGGUAAAAAAGGGAACUGGAGAAAAGGAGCCCCUAAAUCCCAAAGCUCCAAAUUAUGUAUGGCCAGGAAGAACAGCAACAAAGCCCUGGAAAGAAAAAGGCUAUUAGGGUUGAGGGGAAGAAGCUGAAGGAGCAGAAGACAGCAAGAAGUGGGGAGUCAAACAGCCCACCAUGGGAGGAGACUAGCCAGGAUUCCUGGGAAAGGAGAAGUUAUGCAGUCUGAAAAAGUGCAUCCACAAUCUGUUUCUGGAGCCUGCAUAAACAGGUGCAUGACAUACACAGAUUACUGAAUAUCUGCUCUACUGGUACAGAAUCAUCAGUCAGGAUCCUCCUUGGCCUUCCCUUGAUCCAUUUCAUCCUAUUUUUACUUCUUCUUUUUCUUCUCCCAAAGCCUGAAGUCAUCCCUCUUAUUCUCAUCCAUAUCUGUCAAAGAGGGACCAAGUGGAAAGAAAAAGCUGAGAAGAGAUGGCUAAGAGUUGUGUUUCACACUUCCAGGAAAGGAAGCAAAGAAUACUAGGGUGUUCAGGAGUCAACCUACAUAUAUCUUGGGCAUUAUUUUUGAUUCACCUCUCCUCUGUCAGGAAGACUCUGAUUCUCUUGUGCCUUUCUCAGCUCCUAUUGUGGACUAUCCUCAGAGAGAUCAGGGAACUCUUCUUUAACUUUAUCAUGAACCUGUGUGACUGAAGUAUCGAGAGAGUCAGCUGGGUCACUUCCGAUGAGGUUCCUGGGGAUGAUCCUCUAAUGAGCAUGUCAUUUAAGAAUUAUUACAGAUGAGUCCCUAAACUCACAUGAUUUAUUAUCAAUGUCAGUACCUUUAUGAACCUGAGUAGAGACAGAUGACAGGAGUAAUACUUUGUAUUUGUAGUGACUACUUCUGUUGGGAGGGAACAAAAAAAAUUGAAGAAAUUGCUAGUGACGGCAGUGGAGUGGAAUAUGCAGCUCAGCUUCUGUCAGUUCUGCUGGAGAGAUUGUAAAAAAUAAUGGAAGCUAGAAUCUGAUCCUGAAUUUAAUUCUUCUUCAUUGACCUGUUCAGCCUCUUGAGGUCUAAGAUGGCUUGGAUUCUUCCUGAUCUUUCCCUUACUAUGAAGAAUAUGGAAUAGAACCCUGAAAACAUUUGGUCUUGAGAGAGAGGCUCUACUCCUCAUAGCUCUGGGAGAUGACAGAUCUACUUAGGAUGGCUUGCUGUGUCUUAAGGCUGCAGAAUGGAUAAAGAUGUAGAAGAGCCUGGAGCACCAGAGAUUAUCAGUGUUGUACUCUUAUGUUGAUUGGAACCAUGUGUCUAAGUGCCCUCCAGGAGUAUUUCUGGGUGGAAUCAGGCACAGUUGCAUCCAUACUGACUGUUUGGAUUGGAAACAAGGGCUAAACUUGUUCCUGAUCAGGACUUGUCUGUGGGUUACUGUUUAUCCUGGAAUAAGAGAAGUCCCUUAUCUGGUGGCCUGUGUUGUGGGUAGCAAUGAAAGGAGCUUUUGUAUAAGAACUGUAGUCCUUUAAUCUUUUCUGGUGUAGAGAAUAAAUACUUUCACUUCCACCUUAUCUCAGUGUCUACCUAAACAGGAUUCCCACCUGAGAACUUUGAGGCACAGGGGGAUUUGCUUUGAAUAGUUUUGCACAGCCUUUUGCUGCCAGCUUCAUGAAAUCCAUGGAUACAUCUGCCACAAAUGUAGUUGCUUGGGAUAGUUUCUUCAGUGUUGACUUGACCUUGUCAUGGGCUUCUGGUGGUCCAAGCUUUUCAACUCACUGCACCAGGACUUCAUGGCUCUAGUGAAGAAUAUGCUUGCCAAUGAGUGCCUAUGGGUUUAUCUACACAGCAAUUAAAAACCUGCCAGAUGGGAGGGUCUCAGAGCUUGGGCUGUAGCCUGAGCCUGAAGGUCCACACUAAUUAAACAGCCUCUCAGCCUGAGCCUUUUGAUCCUGAGUCAGCUGGCACAGGCUCCCUUGGGUGUCUAAUUGCAGUGUAGACAUACUCUAUGGAUCACUGAAGAAAUUUCCAAGUCCUAUCUAAAGGUAGCGUCCAUCUUCUUAUCUGCAAUGUCUUUUGGGAAGAAAUAACGAUUGGUAAGAUUAGCACAAAUUUUUACUUGGGGAGUUUCUGUUAAUCAGCUUUAGGGAGAAUAACGAACCUUUGGCUUUUAAGAUCCUAUGAAACUCUAGAGCUUGUUGACAGCUUUUUUUGUCUUCGGUUGGGAGUUUCUUAUCCUUCCCCAGGAAAGAGGAGUGGAGGAUGAAAAGGAAGUCAGAAAACUAUUAACAUCAAGAAAAAUGAAAAACUAAACUAUAAAAAAUACAAACUUAAAUUAUAAAGUAAGUAUUGAGGUCUAGACUGAUAAGCAAAAAGGAAAUGAAAGGGUCAUCAUAUACAGUACUGUAGCAUGACACUAGUCCAUAUACAGUAAAUGCACAACUGAUGGACUUUUCCAGGAUUCAGUGGAUUAGAUAACUAUAAGUCGGUCCUCGUGAGAAACUCUAAGAGUGGAUUUUACAAAAGAAAGACUAAGUUACCUAAAGAUAAAAAAAUUAUAUCCACCAACCCCUGCUGUUUAAAGACAGCCAUGAUUCAAAUAUAAUAAAUAUAAUGCUGCAUAUUCCGUUCUUCAGUACUGAUCAAUGGUAUCAUUUUAGAUGUUGUCAGUGUUACACACAAAUAUAUAAAACACAGCAGUACUGUCUUGCUAAUUUAAAUAAUUAUGCUAUUCAUUUUUGUAAAGUAUAACAAAAGUAUAAACUGAGUUUUAAAAUUUGCAAUAUGAUGACAAUCCAGACAAAAUCUGUUCUUAAUUGAAAUUAAAAUUUAAACAAUACACACAGACAAACGUGCCCAGUAAAAACAACUACAUUGUAUUAAGCAAUACUGACUACACACCUUGCCAUGCAUCUGGUUGCAGAGAAGAGAAGGAAGAAACAGACUUUUGAUCAAGGAGCUGAAGAAGUAAGAACAAAAGCCAAUAAGUUUAUAGGUCUUGGAAGUCAGAACUGAAAAAUGACCCAUAAAUAAAUGAAGAAAAUAAAAUUACUUAGGAUUUUUGAAUACUGUAUUACAAGAGAGUGCAGAUGGAAAAAGACUGGAAACAGAACUGAAAUUUAGAGAUAAAAUAAGGAGAUUCCGCCUAUUUUCACAGAUUAAAAGAUGUGCUUUAUAACUAUACUGACUCAUGCUUAGUGUGGUUGGCAAUAGAGAUCACUAUUGUUUUCCAAGGUAAACUGUUUAUUUUUAUUAACUAUAUUUUAAAAUAUUCAUCUAUUAAUUUUAUGCAUAUCCCUUUGUUUAAUGUUUACUAAGGCCUCAGUCCUGCAAAGAACUCCGCAUGGGCAGAUCUCCCCUAAAGUCAUCAGAGCUCCCUGAAAGAUUGGGGCCUAUUGGCUAGAAACUAUCCUAGUGAACAGUGUGCAGAUCUCCCUCUGCCCCUGCAUAAGGGAGGGCAACGCAUAUUCCUCACUUCCUCCUGGCUACAGAGAAGCUCUGCUGUUGGAGAUGCAGAGAGUUAGGAGGAGUUGAGGUGGGCUCGCAAAUUUAAACCUCCUUUCCUUCAUAACACUGUAAAUUAUCUAAGUUACUACAGAUGCAGUUUGCAGUGGAUUUCCCAAGUACUUAUAGUUGCUGUUUCUUCAGAAUAAAGUUGUAUUUUUAAUAUGAAAACUGUAUGUUAUUUAUCUGUAGUUUUGUAUUUAAGGCCGACCAAUGUGGGUCGUUAACAUGUACAUAUUUUUUUGUUUCCUUUUCAAAAAGGUUUUAUAUGCAGUGUUUACAUUUCGAGGUUACUGAUGAAUAUAGUAUUUAUUCUGGGUCAGAGUUAAGGGGGCCGUGAUUAGAUUAAAUAUGCUU